UACUUCAGGGGUAGGGGUGAAAUCCUGUAAUCCUUGAGGGACCACCAGUGGCGAAGGCGUCUGACCAAAACGGGUCCGACGACAAGGGACGAAGCCUAGGGGCGCAAACGGGAUUAGAUACCCCGGUAGUCCUAGGUGUAAACGCUGCGGGCUUGGUGUUGGGGGUCCUAUGUGGGCGUCCAGUGCCGGAGUGAAGAUGUUAAGCCCGUUACCUGGGGAGUACGGUCGCAAGACUGAAACUUAAAGGAAU
This 250-nucleotide ribosomal RNA is filed under the name uncultured archaeon. Its description in RNAcentral is "partial 16S ribosomal RNA". It matches the Rfam family "Archaeal small subunit ribosomal RNA", at positions 616 to 865 of the family's 1478-position model. The record is from RNAcentral.